UGAGGAAUAUUGGUCAAUGGACGCAAGUCUGAACCAGCCAAGUAGCGUGCAGGAUGACGGCCCUAUGGGUUGUAAACUGCUUUUAUAUGGGGAUAAAGUGGGGAACGUGUUCCCUUUUGCAGGUACCAUAUGAAUAAGGACCGGCUAAUUCCGUGCCAGCAGCCGCGGUAAUACGUAUGGGGCGAGCGUUGUCCGGAAUUAUUGGGCGUAAAGGGUACGUAGGCGGUCUAUUAAGUCAGGUGUGAAAGCGUGAGGCUUAACCUCAUUAAGCACUUGAAACUGAUAGACUUGAGUGAAGGAGAGGAAAGUGGAAUUCCUAGUGUAGCGGUGAAAUGCGUAGAUAUUAGGAGGAAUACCUGUGGCGAAGGCGACUUACUGGACACAAAUCUGACGCUGAGGAACGAAAGCGUGGGUAGCAAACAGG
RNAcentral lists this ribosomal RNA (424 nucleotides) under Verrucomicrobiota bacterium. RNAcentral describes it as "Verrucomicrobia bacterium partial 16S ribosomal RNA". It matches the Rfam family "Bacterial small subunit ribosomal RNA", at positions 355 to 776 of the family's 1533-position model. Lineage: Bacteria; Pseudomonadati; Verrucomicrobiota. The record is from RNAcentral.